This 242-nucleotide ribosomal RNA is filed under the name uncultured bacterium. RNAcentral's name for it is "partial 16S ribosomal RNA". It matches the Rfam family "Bacterial small subunit ribosomal RNA", at positions 527 to 779 of the family's 1533-position model. The record is from RNAcentral.
CGGAGGUGCAAGCGUUAUCCGGAUUCACUGGUUAAGGUGUGUAGGCGGUAUUAAGUCAGUGGUGAAUCUCCGAGCUCAACUCGGAACUGCCAUUGAUACUAUUAUCUUGAAUAUUGUUGAGGUAGCGGAAUAUGUCAUGUAGCGGUGAAAUGCUUAGAUAUGACAUAGAACACCGAUUGCGAAGGCAGCUUGCUAAACAAUUAUUGACGCUGAGGCACGAAAGCGUGGGAUCAAACAGGAUU